This 439-nucleotide ribosomal RNA is filed under the name uncultured bacterium. RNAcentral's name for it is "partial 16S ribosomal RNA". It matches the Rfam family "Bacterial small subunit ribosomal RNA", at positions 339 to 795 of the family's 1533-position model. The record is from RNAcentral.
CUACGGGGUGCACCAGUGGGGAAUAUUGCACAAUGGGGGGAACCCUGAUGCAGCAACGCCGCGUGGAGGAUGACGCAUUUCGGUGUGUAAACUCCUUUUAUAUGUCAAGAAAAUGACGGUAGCAUAUGAAUAAGCACCGGCUAACUCCGUGCCAGCAGCCGCGGUAAUGCGGAGGGUGCAAGCGUUACUCGGAAUCACUGGGCGUAAAGGACGCGUAGGCGGGUUGGAAAGUCAGGUGUGAAAUCCUACAGCUUAACUGUAGAACUGCACUUGAAACUUCUAAUCUAGAGUAUGGGAGGGGGAGAUGGAAUUAGUGGUGUAGGGGUAAAAUCCGUAGAUAUCACUAGGAAUACCUAAAGCGAAGGCGAUCUCCUGGAACAUUACUGACGCUAAGGCGUGAAAGCGUGGGGAGCAAACAGGAUUAGAUACCCCUGUAGUC